ACCUUGAUGCAGGAAGAGAACCUGUUUCCUUCAUCAGCUGAACUGGUGUCAGGCCAAAAGAAGCAUGCAAAAGGUACUGAUAACAUCUCCAAAUAUAAAAAACAUAAGCCUCUGCCUUCAGAUGAUGACAAGAAGCAUGGCAAUGAGAGCAUGGAGACGGAGGGAGAAGAGAGAAGUGUCUUACAUAAAUUUCAGGAGGAACAAGUAUCAACACCAAGCGAUACGAUGGAUCAUGAUAACAACUCUUCAAAUGAGAGGAGUGCUCAUAGUCCUCAGGCACCUCAGCUACCUUCGUCAGAACAUGACGCUAACAGUCAAGGGGUGAAAAACACUGGGCAGGGCUUGAAGUGCCCAACACCUGCAAGAGAUAUGGUUAAACAUGAGCGUGAUAUGACAAUUGAUGAAAACAUCUGCUGCAAUAAUGAGAAACACCAACUGUACGCGUCAAAUGAACCACUGAAACGUGCAAAUGACACCGCAGGGAAAAGAAACAUGAAGUUGAGCUUCAAGAAUUACUCAGCGCCGCCAAGAAAUACAGCAAGCAAUGACAAUAACACCACUGAUGAGGAGAAUACUUUUCAUGGCUUGAAAAAUGAGCCGGUGCAACACAGAAAGAGUCAUGAAGGAGAGAGGAAUACUUCAUGUGAUCCUAAAAAUCAAAUACCAUCAUCAGGUCCUCUGGUGAAGCAAGACAAGAAAUCCUCCCCUCAGCAACAACCAUCACCUGCUGACUUCGUAAAGCCUGAAAAUAAGUCAGCUGAAAAAAAGACUAAACAUACCUCUGAGAAGCCCCAGUCACCUUCUUCAAACAAACUGGAGAAGCCUCAAGAAAGAAGUCCUUCAGCAGAGAGGAAGCAGAAGACACCAGCAGCAGAGGACAUCCCGUCACCCAAAACAAAGGCUGUAAAAGGGGACAAUGAACCCCAGCACCCAGGAAAGUACCGGUUACCACGGUCGAGUAAAGCAGCAAAGCUUGAGAAAGAAACUCCAGGAGGAGAAAAACAGCAAACAAGGUCUGAGGAUUUUACAACGCCUGGUGCAAAUACUGCAAAAGAGAAGAACAAGUUUCCAAAUCUCAAGAAGUACCGAUCGGUAUCUUCAGAAAUACCGGCUAAGCCUCAAGAAAAGGAUGCUCCAGAUCAAAAGCAAGAAACAUCAGCUGCUACAGGUUUUAAGAAGCCCGGUACUAAUGCUGUAAAAGAAAAAGAUGAAGAUAAAAAUUCUGAGGAGCCCCAGUCACCCUCUUCAAACAAAGGGAUGAAAUCCCAAGAAAAAACUACUUCAGGGAAGAGGAAGCAAAAGACACCAUCAGCAGAGGACAUCAGGCCACCUGAAACAAAGGCUGUAAAAGAGGAUGAUAAACACCAGUGUGCUGGGAACCAUCAGUUACCCCUUUCAAGUAAAUCUGCAAAGCCUGGGAAAAAUUCUCCAGGAUUGGGAAAACGAGAAACCGCAACUGAAAGUUUUAAAAAGCCUGAUGCAAAUGAUGUAAAAGAUAAAAGCAAAGAUCUAGGUUCUGGGAUGUGCCAGUCCCCAUCUUCAAAUCUGCAGGUGAAGCCUGAAGAAAAGAACGUCACAGCCAAAAAGAAGCAAUCGACACCACCAUCUGAUGAAAAAACGAAGUAUAAAGCUGGUAGUCCAGAAAAGAGGAGUGGGGCCCUGAGAACAGAGAAAUACCAGCUACAGUCUUCACAUAAGAAAGGGAAGAAGGACAAUGAUGAUUCAGGAGAAGAAGGGUCUGCGGGUGACCUCAAGAGCUCUCAAACUCCAUUGCCACGUGAUGGCAUAAAACGUAAAAGCAACACUGCCCCAAAAGACACUGCCCCAAAAGACACUGCCCCAAAAGACACUGCCCCAAAAGACACUGCCCCAAGAGACACUGCCCCAAAAGACACCAUCCCAAAAGAGACCUGUUUGUCUAAUACAGAGAGGUCCCCCCAGUCAUCCCCAUUGCUUGAUGCAUCAAAAUAUGAUGGAAGUCCCGCUGAAAAUAGAAGAAAACGGCCUGGAUUUAAGAAGUACCAAGCACUCUCAUCAAAUAAUUUGGUGAGGCAUGACAAAGACAUUGCUGAAAGGGAGGCUAGCUGGCAGGCAGCUGCUGUAACAAGCGACAGAACAGCAGAGCUGGAGGACUGCUCCAAAACAGCACCAUUCUCCAAGUACACAGUGGAAAGCUACGGUGAAAGGCCCUUAGAUUCAUCUUUUAAGCCACUGAUCAUUAGGGGCAUUACAUUAUCAUUUUUUAAUCACAAGGACAUUGAUGUGCAUCUAUCCGAGCUGGGCUUUUUCCUUUCUUAA
RNAcentral lists this long non-coding RNA (2298 nucleotides) under Anas zonorhyncha (Eastern spot-billed duck). RNAcentral describes it as "lncRNA (ENSAZOG00000008989.1)". Lineage: Eukaryota; Metazoa; Chordata; Aves; Anseriformes; Anatidae. The record is from RNAcentral.